Long non-coding RNA from Dreissena polymorpha, 7691 nucleotides. RefSeq lists it as uncharacterized. NCBI's taxonomy places the organism in Eukaryota, Metazoa, Mollusca, Bivalvia, Myida, Dreissenidae. The record is from RefSeq and is a predicted model, not a curated record. The transcript has 11 exons.
GAGGAUGGAGUGAGCUUCCCAGAGUCAGUCUGCUACAGCAGCACCACAUCAUCAAUCAUUGUGGGACUGUACCGGGACGACAACAUCCUGGUGUUCAGAGUGGAAUAGUGUGUACAUUCGCUGCUGAGUCAGGACAAGGAUGCUGAGGAUGUGGUGGACAAGGAUGACCUGAAUACACAGAAGGAGAGCCCCGGUUUUGAUAUUGAGUUGAUACGGCAACAGCACCAGUCGGGCCCGCACAAGCCUCAAGUCAAGCACGACCCCUCCCCUGACCCCUAGCUUCUCCCAUUUGACUUCCAGCUUCAAAGGGUCAGCAUCGUUGAACAAAUUCCUCCUAUAAAAAAUUUUGAGCACAAAGAGUUUUCACACAUGGUUCUCAUCAACCACAAUUUUCGUGUCGAGUGAUCCGCACUUGAGUCUGUUUGGUUUGUUAGACCCGAGUGCCAGAGAUGGGACAACCGUUACAGACACAAGGACUUAUUGCAGCAGUUAUGGCAACAUGUACAGUCAGUUCUCAAUGUUGGACUUCACAACUAAUAUCACGAUAAAUGCAAAGUUGGAUAACUCGUUCCAUUCUUUUUGGGACAAACAAUACAACGGAAAGUAACAAGAGAAAAUCAAGGAAUAUUUGUAGAGUUUUUGUCGGAAGCGUAUGCUUACCACUGGCAUACUCCUGGACAGUCGUAACUUUACGGACAGUCCCGGUUUGUCCUCACAGGUGUCCAAACUGUCCAAAGAAACGCACUUUUGACGCAGUUGCUAACUUAGAAAGGCAGCACCUACUUUGUUGUGAACACUCAGAGCAUCCAUGGCCAUGCCUCAGGCGGGAAGUUCGACCAACAGCUGAAACAAGAUGCUAAAGGUGAACCCAUCAGGGUUUGUAACUUCCCACUCCAAUCCUUAACAGCCUGGCAUUGAGUCGGCGCUUGAGAAGGCGUUGAAAAAUGACAGCAGUUUUGUUUUGUGGUCCAGUAUGCCCUUUGGCUCUCAACCUGAUGUUAGGUAGAACUCAAACUGGGCCCUUAGCAAUAUCAGCGAGGCUAGAAUGUCAUCUCUGCAUUUUGAGCUUCAGAAAACAUUAAAAGCAAACAAGACAAACAUCAUGAAUGUUUAGGCAAUCCCAAUCCACUUAUACUACAACUCGCUCAGGAAAUUCAGCACGCCACCUUUUAACAUCUUCUCACAAGGCGCUAAAUCAACACUUCCAACAGCUGAGCCUUGGACAGCACCACCAUUGAUAUCGAGUUGGCCUAGCAACAGCACCAGUCAGGCCUGCAGGAGCCCCAGUCCAGGACGACCCAUCCACUCCCCUGACCCUUAACUCAUCAUACUUGAUAUCCGGAAAAAUGGGGCCUUAUGCAUGUGCUUAAAUUGUUGUCACAGAUAAGCCUAUGCAGUUUGCACAGGCUAAUAAUGGACAACACUUUCCUCUUAAAGCAGAGCACCAGCAUUGAUAACGAGUUGGCCCAGCAACCGCACCAGUCCCGCCUGCAGAAGCCCAAGUCCAGAAUGACCCUCCCCCUCCAUUGACUUCUAAUUCCUCCCCCUUGACCUCCUGCCUCAAAAAGUCAGCAUCGUUGAACAACUCUGUUCUGCAGGAAAUUCUGAGCAUGAUUCUGUUCUGACAAAACGCAAUGCCCACUUUACGUUUUCCAAACAAAAGCCUGGGUAGUUUUGUUAAGCUAGAGUUCCGCGUGGGCCUGAAAGGGACGAGUGUUACAGACAUGAAAAUUUAUAGCAGUAGUUAUGGUAACGCUAACAGUCAGUUGUUGCUGUUGGACAUCACAACAAAUAUCAUGAAGAAUAAAAAGUUCAAUCACUUGUUCCAAUCUUUAUGGGACAAACAGAAAUUAAACAGAAGAGAAUCAAGGAACACUAAAAGCGUAAGCUUUCCUAGUGGUAUACAUCUGCUGUUGAUAGUUUGGACAACAGAAGGGUUAGGGACUGCCCCAGAUUGUCCUCUCAGCGGCCAAAAUAUCAUAAAAGAACAGACUUUUAGCAAUGUUACUGACAAAAAAAGGCAAAAAUGACUUGGUUGUGAACACCCAGAGCGCGAUACAUCCAUUCUGACACAGAAAGGUGGUAAUAACUUAGUUGUGAACACCCAGAGCACAAUACAUCCAUGCUGACACAGAAAGGAAGUAAUGACUUGGUUGUGAACACCCAGAGCACAAUACAUCCAUGCUGACACAGAAAAUAAGUAAUGACUUGGUUGUGAACACCCAGAGCAAGAUAUAUCCAUGCUGACACAGAAAGGCAGUAAUGACUAUGCUGUGAAAAACCCAGAGCACAAUACAUCCAUGCUGACACAGAAAGGCAGUAAUGGCUUGGUUGGGAACACCCAGAGCACAAUACAUCCAUGCUGACACAGAAAGGCAGUAAUGACUUGGCUGUGAACACAGAACACAAUACAUCCAUGCUGAAACAGAAAGGCAGUCAUGACUAUGCUGUGAACACCCAGAGCACGAUAUAUCCAUGCUGACACAGAAAGGCAGUAAUGACUAUGCUGUGAACACACAGAGCAAGAUAUAUCCAUGCUGACACAGAAAGGCAAUAAUGCCUAUGCUGUGAACACCCAAAACACAAUACAUCCAUGCUGACACAGAAAGGCAGUAAUGACUUGGUUGUGAACACCAGGAGCAAGAUAUAUCCAUGCUGACACAGAACGGCAGUAAUGACUUGGCUGUAAACACAGAGCACAAUACACCCAUGCUGACACAGAAAGGCAGUAAUGACUUGUCUGUGAACACAGAACACAUUACACCCAUGCUGACACAGAAAGGCAGUAAUGACUUGGCUGUGAACACAGAGCUUAAUACAUCCAUGCUGACACAGAAAGGCAGUAAUGACUUGGCUGUAAACACAGAGCACAAUACAUCCAUGCUGACACAGAAAGGCAGUUAUGACUUGGCUGUAAACACAGAGCACAAUACAUCCAUGCUGACACAGAAAGGCAGUAAUGACUUGGCUGUAAACACAGAGCACAAUACAUCCAUGCUGACACAGAAAGGCAGUUAUGACUUGGUUGUGAACACAGAGCACAAUACAUCCUUGUUGACACAGAAAGGCAGUAAUGACCUUGCUGUGAACUCAGAGCACGAUACAUCCAUGCUGACACAGAAAGGCAGUAAAGACUUGGAUGUAAACACCCAGAGCACAAUACAUCCAUGCUGACACAGAAAGGCAGUUAUGACUUGGCUGUAAACACAGAGCACAAUACAUCCAUGCUGACACAGAAAGGCAGUAAAGACUUAGAUGUAAACACCCAGAGCACAAUACAUCCAUGCUGACACAGAAAGGCAGUAAAGACUUGGAUGUAAACACCCAGAGCACAAUACAUCCAUGCUGACACAGAAAGGCAGUAAUGACUUGGUUGUAAACACAGAGCACAAUACAUCCAUGCUGACACAGAUAGGCAGUAAUGACUUGGUUGUGAACACAGAGCACAAUACAUCCUUGUAUGACUUGGUUGUGAACACCCUGAGUGCCCUACAUGCAUGCUGACACAGAAAGGCAGUAAUGACUUGGUUGUAAACACCCAGAGCACAAUACAUCCAUGCUGACACAGAAAGGCGGUAAUAACUUGGUUGUAAACACCCAGAGCACAAUACAUCCAUGCUGACACAGAAAGGCAGUAAAGACUUGGUUGUAAACACCCAGAGCACAAUACAUCCAUGCUGACACAAAAAGGCAGUAAAGACUUUGUUGUAAACACUAAGAGAUCCAUACAUCCAUGGGGUGUGCCACAGCCGCAAAUUAGGCCCACUAUUGUGAACAAGGUUCUUAAAGUGAACACGUCUGGUUUUGUUAUGAGCACAUAGCACUCCAAGCCCAAAAGGCCUCGCAUUGAAUUGAUGCAAGAGAAGGCUUUGAAAAAUAACAGCAGUUUUGUUGAGUGGUCCAAUACGCCCUUCGACUUUCAACCUGAAGAAAGCAAAACUCAAACUCGUCUCUUAGCAAUAUCAGCAAGGCCAGCAUGUCAUCUCAGCUUCUUGAACUUCAGUGAACUUUACUAGCAAACAUGACAAACGUCAUUGAAGUGAAAGUCGAUGACAACCCCCUUCUUGCACAAGUACUACAACUCGCUUAAGAAAUUCAGCACAAAGACGUCUUGCGUAAUACUACCAAGCCUCCUAUCAAUAUCUCCUCCCAUGUUGGCUACAUCAACACUUAAAACAGCAGAGCCUUUGUGAGUUCGACUUCCGUCUCAGCGUCGAUGUCGCUUAGCAACAAUUGGAUGAUGGGCGUCGACAAAUUAGGCCGGACAAGUCACUCGAACUGAAACGAUCUGAUCCAACAGGUAGAGCAGGCGUUGCAUGACACGUCCGUUAAUGUGACUGACCUCGAAAUGUUGUUCUCGAAUUAUGUGAACCUUAGGCCUGGAGAGCAGUAUGCGAUUGAAACCUUUCAACAACAGUUGUUGUCGGCAAUUCAUGGGUUUGAAGUGGGGACUUCGGCGGCGGGACUCACUCCAUCUCUGUCUUUGGCCCAGUCGCAGCAGCAGCAACAAGAACAAUAAAGCCUGUUUCUACAGGAAACCAUGCAAUCAUAGAUCAGUACCUAGCUGAACAACUGGAUGUCCGGUCAGCUGGGCCCAGACGCCCAGUGACACUUCCUGGCCCAGGACCUUGGGGCAAAUGCUCAACUAGUCCUACCUGCAGGGUGGAGCCACUCUGAACCUGGGGCUCCAUACUUUCUUGGUCAGGAGCCAAGAUUACCUCGUCAAUAAGGAACACAUUCCUGGGAUGCCCUAAGGUCUUUCUAUCUGUUCACAGAGGUCUUAUACUCACAAGUUCAAGCCCAGUGAGCGAUGUUCACAUUAUCAAAAUCUGCAUCUCAAUAGAAACCAGGAUAGCAAAGCGUUGGUUUGUUUUUGAAGCAUUUGAACCAGCAACAGUCAUCAUUCGAGUUUCUGACAUGCCAAUGGUGCGGAACCCCUCAAUCUAAGAACAUCAUAACAGCACAUGAACCAGCAGCAGUCAUCAUCUCAAGAUUCUGGUAUAUCCAUGGUACAGGACCCUUAGUCUGUACAAAUCUUGCAGAACGAAUUUCAGAUGCAAUUGGAGGAAAUCAAACCAUCCAAUCAGAAACACAGCCUGUUGCAGCUAUUGUUAACAUAUUGACCCCAGUGAUACCUAAGAAGCUCAGAGUUACAUACUGUUUUAAAUGUGCUAGUCUUCACAUACCUCCUGGUUUGUUCAACACUUACUCUGAAUCUUUGAAUGUUAUGAAGGGUGAAAAUGAAUGACCUUGUUCAGAUCGAAAUGGCAGAAUGACACAUCACAACAAUUCAAGUGGAAAGCCACAAAGUCAUGUCAACAGCCACAUGUUGUAUGUUGCCAGCCAAGUUGUAUUAAAAAACACAAUAGCUUACGUUUUACGUUAUAUGUGACCAACCAAGUUAUAUUCAUUCAAAAACAAUAGUUUAUGUUUUAUGGGAAUGUUUAUGCUGUCAGUAUUUAUGUUGAAAUAUUUUGUUAAAUAUAGCAUGUCAAGUAUUUUAAAAGCAUGCAUAUGCAAUGUCUUUGUCUAUAUUAUCAUAUCACUACAUAUUUUGAUCCUGAUAAUGGUAAAUUAAUGGGAAAUACACUUUUAUCAAAGACUUUCAAAGUGUGACAAAGCUGUUUAAAUGAGGCUGGUAACUUGGACAACAUGAAAAAAAUAUUAGAGUAUUUUCAUGUUAUAAUACAUGUUUCAGUUUUCUGUUUUUUUACCCGUAUUAUAGAUAAGCUAUAUAAAAGUAGUGUUAAGAAAGUUUUAGAAGUUUUACGCUUCAGCUUUUUCUGUUUAUCAAUCUUUCUAAAAACAAUACUAGUAAAUCUGCUAAUUCCGGUCGGUAUUCGAACAAGAAUCUUGUUUAAUAGCAUUCAUGGGAAUCUAAAUAAAUUAUAUGCAAUAAUAUGUAAUCUACCUAAAAGUAUCGAUUCUGUAUUUACUACCAGUACUUUGUUGAUUUCAAUGCAUAUUGUUUGUUAAAUAUUCGAAAUGGCUCUUGGAUUUGGGGGAAAACUUAAAGGAAAACUAAAAAUUAAAAAAUUAUUUUUUUUAGAGUUUUAUGAAAAAUGGGAAAAGUUAUAAAUGUUAAUUUGUGUUGUUAGAUCAAAGACUAAGAUGCUCAUAAGUGUUUAAAUUUAUUUUCGGAUAUAAUAGUUUAUAAUGCUUUAUAUUUGUAUAUGCAUAUGAAGACGACCAGAAUGUAUCCUCUUUAAUCACUGAGUAUCUUAAUCAAUAUCUCUUGAUCACUGCAUACAUUGUAGAGGUAUAUUUUGAUAUUUAUACACAGAGCAACUGUGAAACAAUAGUAUUUUAAAUGUACAUUAUUUUUUUUGUGUGGCAAUUUUUAUAAGAUAAACUCACUGUUUACAUUAAUUUGUGCAAACCAUAGUCAUAAAAAUAUUGAUUGUGUGAAUCCACAUAUUUGUAUUAAACUGUUAAAAUAAUGUACAGUAACAGAUUCUGAAGAGAAAACUGUACUCAAUGAAAUAUAAACCCCUUGUUAUAUUAACUGCUUUAUAUUAAGAACAGCUACUUAAAAUAAGUUUAAUUUUGUUUUACAUUAUCUAAAGAAAAUUUAGUACAUUUUUAUUUGAAAUCAGUCAUUUACAUAUUAAGGAAGAGUGUUGUCAUAUGCUAACAAUUGUCAAAAAAUGCGAUUGUCUCUAUUGGUAAAGUAGAGAGCAAUAUUAUUUGCUUAAACAAAAAAAAGCAAAGAUGUCUGCUUUGAAAGUGUAUGUGAAAUAAACACUUAUGUUUGUUCUUAUAUUAAACGUGAACCUAUUGAUGUAUAGCUGAUAAUAAAGUUUGACAUUUUAUUAGUUUUGUAACAAUGUGUUUUUUACCUUUUACGUUAACAUUCCCACAAUUGAUGUCAGUGCAGUGCCUUCAAUGGAGCCAUUUUCUGUAAAUCUCCCACUGUUAAAGUUCAGCAAAUGUUUUAAGACCAGAUUUCCUUAAACUUGAAGUUGUUUAUAUUUAACAUUUUUUGAAUGCAUGAAACAUGUUUGUUACGUUGUAGAAUAGCUGAAAAUAGCUGAAAAUAGCUUGAUGUUUGUAAAUUGUGUGACAUGUUGAUCAAAUUGAUACAUAGAGACCAACACUCAUUAUGCGUUAAUUUCUAUGUUUAGCUAAACAAAAAAUGUUACCAAACACAAAUAUAAGAUAUAUUCGUAAAACAGUAUCAAAUGCAUUUUGAAAUAUAAUGUUUAAAUAUGUUUGUCGACUCCAAAUAAGCAUUUUGAAUAAGCAAAUCAAUACAUUAAUAAUAUCUAUGGAAAGUACACUUAGGCACUUUUCAAUCGUUUGUGUACUUCAUAUUGAUCAGGGUCUUUCUAAAUUCAUGCAUGAUUUUUUAUGCCUAUGUCUGAAUUGUGUAAAUAUCUGUUAUAUAACUGUGAAAAAAGGAUUUUUAUAUUAAAAGUUAAAAUAGUGUAUAAACUGUAACGGGCAUCUGUUGCAUUUAUUUUUACGUGUUUAUAUUUUCUGGCCUACUGAGCUUAAGUUUGUCUAUAAUCGUGCGUACUUUUAUUGUCGUUUUCAAAUUAAGACAAAGCUCACUACACUUAUGCUGUUGUUUUUGUCCACCAUUUCUAUACAAAUUGUUGUAUGUAAAUAAUUUAACAUGUCGAUGUUGGUAAUAAUGUAUUUCCUAAUCUAAUAUUGAUGAUGCACUCAAUAAAGUACAUAACCAUUUA